AAAUGAGCAAAAAGGUAAAGAAGACAUAACAGUUUUUAUACUGGUUCAAUACCGGUGUAGUACUUACGUCAAGUUCCCUUAGGUCACAAGGGUUCUCUGCUUGUAUAAAUAUUUACAGCACUAAUGGUUCUAGUACGUUCACCGCCAACAAUAUAGAGUAACAAUGAUUUUCUUUCCAAUGUUGACACAACUCUCGUUUUAUGCUCUAACUCUUCUAUCUUUCGUGACACUUGUAGACUAAAAAAUAGAGUGUUUGUACUAAGAACUAGAAAGUCUUAGAAACAAAUGAUAUAGUUUCGUGCCUUUGAAUGUGAUAUUCUGCUUCUUCCGUUAUAGCUUGAUGAAUCUUCUGUUUUCUUGUCUUUUGGGAUUGAAAUGCAGCUAUUCGAGGAUUCCUUUCGUUGUGAGGCAUAUAAAUCUGAGAGAAAGACACAAGGAUAGCCUCAUGAAACUAGCUUGAAAUGGUAGCUAGAUUCAUUCUUAAUCUUGAGGAAUUGCUUCCACCAUUUUUCCUUGAUUUGAGCUUCUGCAGAAUCUUCUGGAUUUGAUCUCUGGCCUUGAUUAGCUCUCUUCCUAUUCUUGCGCGCUUGAGAAUCUUUGACAAUGCUGAUUGAUUGACUUCCCUUCUUGUACUUUAACUGAUUGAUUUAUUUAUGUAAAGCAAAAUUCAAAAUACAUAGCCGUUGAGUAGGAUCUUCUUUCCUUUCAUCAACAUUAUUGCUUAUCGAAUAUGCAUACAAAAAUAUAUCAUUAGUCAAGGCUUCUUUUAGAUUAUUGAUCGUUAUUAAAAUUAUAAACUUAACCUAAAGCUCUAAGGCUACUUAAACCAUCAAAGCAGCAACAAAACCUUUGGUAAAAUCAUAGAAAUCACCUAACAAUUUUUCAACUUUUCUGUUCAAAGUCCAAAGAAUAUACUGUAAGUUUAAGCUACAAACUUAACUAUUCUAAAAAGAUAAAUAUUAAACAGUAUAACUUCUACUACAAUUAGACAUUUAAUCAACUAAAAUGAGAUCAAUAUAAUGCAUCAAAUAUGAACCACAAAAUCAACAGAAAAUUAGGCCGAACACCCAAAAUGCAUGUUACUUUUCCAACGAACAACCAAAUAAACACAAGCAAGGACAUAAUAACUGUAUGGGUCAAAAUCGAACAAGAGAAAUUCGAAUACGUGGUGACGAUUGUCAUGAGUGACCUGCAAAUCAAUAUGGGCAGCUUGGCCGAGGUCGAUCAGUGGUCAAUAGAACAAGUCUCUGAGCAGUUCAUCAGGGCCGAGGUUGAGAAACAUGGAUAGAUUUGACAGCUAGUAUAGCUUUGGAACCUUCAAAGGGAAUAUUCUAAUAUUCCCUCUGUUUGUACCUUUUAGGUUUCUUUGGGAAUACUCCAUAUAAAUAGCAGGAGAGAUAAGGCAAAAGGCAUAUAAGUUUCUGUAUGAUAAGAACUCUUUUGAAUAGCAGGCUCUUUAGAUAAAUACAAGAACACCUUUCUAAAGAGGUUGGUCUUUUUGGAUUAUUCCUUGUCAUUUCCACUAGAUCCGAGAAAGUCUUCAAUAUUCUUAUAAGCUUUUUGUCACUCAUCAUUGUCAGAGGGGGGAAUCAUCCAGCUCAUUCAAUAUUGGGUGAAUCUUCUCCUUUAUUUACAUUUAGUGUCAUUUAUUGUAUUUAUUGCUUAUUAUUAUUUUCAUUCCUUAACAAGUGUAAUAUUUAAUGGCUAUUUCAUUAAAUUUAUUUUAACACGGUCCCACAUUAUUCGAAUAAACCUAUUUUGAAUAUAAAGUCAUUAUCUUUAACUAGGAUUUAUCCUUUUAUUUAAUUAGUUGGCAAAAUACAUAAGUUGCCACCUGACCUAUGACCCAAAUCCACCUUACAUACUUUUUGUGAGCGAAAAUUACUUUACACACGCAACCUUUCUAAAGUGUGUCUAAGAUACACUACUUUGUCAGAUGGGACAUGCGUGUUUAACAAAUAAAAGUGAGCGCGUCAGACCUAUACAUGUUUUGUCGACAUGCCCAUCUGUGGCUUUAUUUGAACUCCUCAGAUUUAAUAAAGUUGAUCUGAUGGCCUACAUAAUUAUUUUCUUUAAUCCCUUUUCUUUUUACCAAAAUGUGUCUCUCUAGCCUCCAUUUUCUUUUCUCAAGAUUUUGUUCAAUCAAUCUUAUCGGAUAACACAAUAAACUCUGGCGAAAGAACUUUACGACUCAUGUUAUUUUUAUUUCUAUUGUUUGCUAAAAUAUACUCCAACGAAAGAACUUUAUGGUGCAGGUUCAACGCCACUACUAUUUUCGGUCACUAACGACGAAAAAACUUUACUUUUUUUUUCUUUUCAGCAAAGAGCUAGCAUUUUUUAGAAUUUUUUAUUUUAAAUUUGAAAUAGAAUCUAAAGUUGCAGAUUUUGAUUUUGGUAAAUAGAAAUUUCAAAUUUUGAUAAGUUUGGGUGCUUCAAUAGUAUGGAUAGGUGCUUGAUUCAUGUUAAUAUUUUGUUCUAGUGGGGAUUUGCCAUGGUUGUUGGAGUUUAGGGGAGGAGGUCGACGGGUAAGGGGUUUAGAAGAAAAUGAGAAACGUGGGGGAGGGAGAUUUGUUUCUUUUUCAUUUGUUUUCUUUUAAAUAUUAUUAAUUGGUGUAAAUUUAGUAUUUUAUUUUUUUCUUGAGUUAAGAUACGUGUCAUGACCUUAUCGGCGCGUGACCUUACACAUAUUUUGAAAAGUUGGUCAAGAAAAAGUGUUGAGCUACACUUUAGAAAGGUUACGUAUGUAAUAUUAUUAUCGUCCACAAAAAAAUGUGUAAGGGGGAUUUGGGCAAUAGAUUAGAUGGGUACUUAUGUAUUUUUCCUAAUUAGUUUAACAAGAAGUUUUAUACUUUUUGGUCAACAAUUUGGCACCGUCUGUAGGGAAUUUCUAGUCAAAGUUUUAGUUUCUUUCACAUCUAAAAGAAAGAAACACAAACCUUAUCUUUUCUUGCGUGCAUUGUUUAACAUGGCAGAUAAUAGAGAGAAAAGAAUGAAAGCAGUAGCCGGUCUUACUACCAACCUCCUAAACACCCUCAACGAAGCCACCGGAAAGACAAUGAGGAUAUGACACAAAAUGCCUCCCCUAGGCGGAGUGGUUCACCCCUCUCUCACGACAACAUCACAACCUGACACGGCAAAGAGGUCUCUACAUCCACAACAAAAGAGGCACCACCAACAAUGAAAAUGCUACUCGAUGCAUGGUUAAAAAAACAUGCUCACCAGCAUUCUUGACAAUCCCUCCCAAAGGACGAACAGAGAAACUGCGAGAGUUUGUGUCACACCAGUGACAUAUAAGCAGCACGACCCUCCACGUGUGACAGGUAUUACUCACAGUGUUGGAGAUGCAGGCAACGAUACCCUCACGACCAUUUUGAGGAAUAUGGAGGAGAUAGAGAAAGAGAACAAAAUGCUCCACAACCAAAUGAAAAAGCAUCAAGAAAGGGUAGAUAAAAUACCAGGCGCCCCAAAACCUUGACCAAAAAGGGGCCCAGCCGGUUCGUUGAGAAAUCGUACAUUGGAGAAGCUGCACCACACGCCAUACCUAAAACCUUCAAUAUGCUGUAAUACUUGAAAAUAUACGAUGGCACGACGGACCCUGAGGAUCAUGUGACUCACUAUGUCACCGCAGUAAAAGUAAACGACCUCGCCAAAGAACAAGUGUCUUCCAUAUUGCUGAAGAAGUUUGGUGAAACCCUCACCGGAAAAUGUCAUGCCCCUUUUUUUCCUCGCAGAGUCCGGGUUUCGAUAUCUUGGGGGCAACUCCUUUCCUUUUGGGAAUUGGGUAAGACAUUUUGAAGAGUCGCCACCUACCGGAUUAAGGUGUGUUAGGGCACCUAGAACAAAUAACUUUUGUACUAGUUUACAUUAUCAGAGAUUGGGUAGGGCUCGAAAUUACCUUGAGGGGAAGGUGUUAGGCACCCCUCGAGAUCCACAGUGGUGGGUCCCGGCCAAACUCAAUUUAAGGGAAUUAGUCUUAUAAGCUGAUAAACAAACAUAUAUUACUUUUAAGAACCAAGAGUAAAAAGGUCCUAGGUUUUUUAGCCUAUAGGAUCACUUCUAUGCAAUACUUUGUAAUUAUCCUCAAAUAGAGGUGUUACGCGUAGCAUUAGUGCACAGGUCAUCAUAUCCUUUACUAACUGAUUACCCUCCCUUAAUUAUUACCUACGUGUUCUAACAACAUCGAAUACGUAUCCUAUGAGUGCACUACCCGUUCCUUACCUGUGGCCCUGGAGGUGUUAGGACCUCUAUGUAAGAUGGUUCUAGACUCUCCUAUGGUGCUUAAAAGGAGAAAAUAUAUGCGAACACACACAAACAGGUAGGAAGGUCAUAUAAAAAGCAACUAAGGGGCUCAUAUUUACCUCCAUAAAUAAAUAAAAUAAGUGCACGCCAUUCAAACAAGCAAUUCUCUAUAAUUUUAAGAGUCCUAUAGGCAGGAUAUCUACAUGAGUAUAAAUCAGAAUAUGCAGCAGUUUUAUUAUGGCGAGUCAGUGAAUACUUAUCAGUUUGCCUACUAAUUUUUAUCACGCACUGAAUCUGAGCACGUUUCAAGCAGCAAGAAAAUCACAACAUCUUCCUGUUCAGCAUCUUGGAAACAUCAUCUAGCUUGGAAAUGAGAAGAAAGAAAGAGAAGCUUUUAUUGAAUUGUUGAUAAAAAAUAAAAAAUAUAUUUGUGUCUAGAAAUAUCUAAAAGCCG
Molecule: long non-coding RNA, 4693 nt
Filed under: Nicotiana benthamiana
Lineage: Eukaryota; Viridiplantae; Streptophyta; Magnoliopsida; Solanales; Solanaceae
Description: long non-coding RNA (NBEN_LNC039503)
Source: RNAcentral